RNAcentral lists this ribosomal RNA (486 nucleotides) under uncultured bacterium. RNAcentral describes it as "partial 16S ribosomal RNA". It matches the Rfam family "Bacterial small subunit ribosomal RNA", at positions 30 to 507 of the family's 1533-position model. The record is from RNAcentral.
AUUGAACGCUGGCGGCAUGCCUUACACAUGCAAGUCGAACGGCAGCACGGGUGCUUGCACCUGGUGGCGAGUGGCGAACCGGUGAGUAAUACAUCGGAACAUGUCCUGUAGUGGGGGAUAGCCCUACGAAAGCCUGAUUAAUACCGCAUACGAUCUACGGAUGAAAGCGGGGGACCUUCUGGCCUCGCGCUAUAGGGUUGGCCGAUGGCUGAUUAGCUAGUUGGUGGUGUAAAGGCCUACCAAAGCGACGAUCAGUAGCUGGUCUCAGAGGACGACCAGCCACACUGGGACUGAGACACGGCCCACACUCCGACGGGGGGCAGCAGUGGGGAAUUUUGGACAAGGGGGGAAAGCCUAAUCCAGCAAUGCCGCGUGUGUGCAGAAGGACUCCGGGUUGUAAAACACUUUUGUCCGGAAAGAAAUACUUGGCUCUAAUACGGUCGGAGGAUGACGGUACCGGAAGAAUAAGCACCGGCUAACUACGUG